UCCCUGGUGGUCCAGUGGUUAGGACCCCACACUUCCACUGCAGGGGACCAGAGUUCAAUCCCUUGUCGGGGAA
Molecule: non-coding RNA, 73 nt
Organism: Ovis aries (sheep)
Lineage: Eukaryota; Metazoa; Chordata; Mammalia; Artiodactyla; Bovidae
Source: Rfam